Molecule: ribosomal RNA, 877 nt
Filed under: Lacticaseibacillus paracasei
Lineage: Bacteria; Bacillati; Bacillota; Bacilli; Lactobacillales; Lactobacillaceae
Description: bacterial SSU rRNA
Rfam family: Bacterial small subunit ribosomal RNA
Source: RNAcentral
UGCAAGUCGAACGAGUUCUCGUUGAUGAUCGGUGCUUGCACCGAGAUUCAACAUGGAACGAGUGGCGGACGGGUGAGUAACACGUGGGUAACCUGCCCUUAAGUGGGGGAUAACAUUUGGAAACAGAUGCUAAUACCGCAUAGAUCCAAGAACCGCAUGGUUCUUGGCUGAAAGAUGGCGUAAGCUAUCGCUUUUGGAUGGACCCGCGGCGUAUUAGCUAGUUGGUGAGGUAAUGGCUCACCAAGGCGAUGAUACGUAGCCGAACUGAGAGGUUGAUCGGCCACAUUGGGACUGAGACACGGCCCAAACUCCUACGGGAGGCAGCAGUAGGGAAUCUUCCACAAUGGACGCAAGUCUGAUGGAGCAACGCCGCGUGAGUGAAGAAGGCUUUCGGGUCGUAAAACUCUGUUGUUGGAGAAGAAUGGUCGGCAGAGUAACUGUUGUCGGCGUGACGGUAUCCAACCAGAAAGCCACGGCUAACUACGUGCCAGCAGCCGCGGUAAUACGUAGGUGGCAAGCGUUAUCCGGAUUUAUUGGGCGUAAAGCGAGCGCAGGCGGUUUUUUAAGUCUGAUGUGAAAGCCCUCGGCUUAACCGAGGAAGCGCAUCGGAAACUGGGAAACUUGAGUGCAGAAGAGGACAGUGGAACUCCAUGUGUAGCGGUGAAAUGCGUAGAUAUAUGGAAGAACACCAGUGGCGAAGGCGGCUGUCUGGUCUGUAACUGACGCUGAGGCUCGAAAGCAUGGGUAGCGAACAGGAUUAGAUACCCUGGUAGUCCAUGCCGUAAACGAUGAAUGCUAGGUGUUGGAGGGUUUCCGCCCUUCAGUGCCGCAGCUAACGCAUUAAGCAUUCCGCCUGGGGAGUACGACCGCAAGGUUG